Molecule: ribosomal RNA, 1497 nt
Filed under: uncultured bacterium
Lineage: Bacteria
Description: 16S ribosomal RNA
Rfam family: Bacterial small subunit ribosomal RNA
Source: RNAcentral
GUUUGAUUCUGGCUCAGGAUGAACGCUGGCGGCAUGCCUAAUACAUGCAAGUCGAACGGAGUGAAGCCUUCGGGUUUCAUUCAGUGGCGAACGGGUGAGUAAUACGCAGGGAACCUGGCCAUGGCAGGGGGAUACACUCUGGAAACGGAGCAUAAGACCCCAUAGGCAGUAAGGCGGCAUCGCCUUACUGUUAAAGAAAGCUGAAAGGCUUUGGCGAUGGAUGGACCUGCGGUGCAUUAGCUUGUUGGUGAGGCAACGGCUUACCAAGGCGAUGAUGCAUAGCCGGCCUGAGAGGGCGGACGGCCACACUGGGACUGAGACACGGCCCAGACUCCUGCGGGAGGCAGCAGUAGGGAAUUUUCGUCAAUGGGCGCAAGCCUGAACGAGCAAUGCCGCGUGAGUGAGGAAGGUCUUCGGACUGUAAAGCUCUGUUGCCGGGGAAAAAGGGGAAAUGCAGGAAAUGGCAUUUCAUGGAUGGUACCCGGCCAGAAAGCCACGGCUAACUACGUGCCAGCAGCCGCGGUAAUACGUAGGUGGCGAGCGUUAUCCGGAAUGAUUGGGCGUAAAGGGUGCGCAGGCGGUCUGUUAAGUCUGAAGGCAAAGGGAUGAGCUCAACUCAUUUAUGAUUCAGAAACUGGCAGACUUGAGGACAGGAGAGGGCGGUGGAACUCCAUGUGUAGCGGUAAAAUGCGCAGAGAUAUGGAAGAACACCAGUGGCGAAGGCGGCCGCCUGGCCUGUGACUGACGCUGAGGCACGAAAGCGUGGGGAGCAAAUAGGAUUAGAUACCCUAGUAGUCCACGCCGUAAACGAUGAGGAGCAGGUGUUGGGAGUGAAAUCUCAGUGCCGAAGCCAACGCAGUGACUCCUCCGCCUGGGGAGUAUGCACGCAAGUGUGAAACUCAAAGGAAUUGACGGGGGCCCGCACAAGCGGUGGAGUAUGUGGUUUAAUUCGAAGCAACGCGAAGAACCUUACCAGGUUUUGACAUCGGAUGCGAAGGCGCAGAGAUGCGCUGGAGGCUAUCAUCCAGACAGGUGGUGCAUGGUUGUCGUCAGCUCGUGUCGUGAGAUGUUCAGUUAAGUCUGGCAACGAGCGCAACCCCCGUGGUAUGUUACUAACGCUUUAGGGCGAGGACUCAUAUCAGACUGCCGGUGACAAACCGGAGGAAGGCGGGGAUGACGUCAAAUCAUCAUGCCCCUUAUGACCUGGGCUACACACGUACUACAAUGGCGUCUACAGAGGGAAGCGACCCUGAGAAGGGAAGCGAAACCGGAAAAGGGCGUCCCAGUUCGGAUUGAAGUCUGCAACCCGACUUCAUGAAGAUGGAAUCGCUAGUAAUCGCGGAUCAGCAUGCCGCGGUGAAUACGUUCCCGGGCCUUGUACACACCGCCCGUCAAACCAUGGAAGCCGGCAACGCCCGAAGCCGGUGGCAUAACCUUUUAGGAGUGAGCCGUCGAAGGCGGGGCCGAUGACUGGGGUUAAGUCGUAACAAGGUAACC